Molecule: long non-coding RNA, 491 nt
Filed under: Elaeis guineensis (African oil palm)
Lineage: Eukaryota; Viridiplantae; Streptophyta; Magnoliopsida; Arecales; Arecaceae
Description: long non-coding RNA (EGUI_LNC000865)
Source: RNAcentral
CGACAAUUUUAUUGAUAAGCUUCUAAAAACUCUAUUUGAAACUCUUUUUCCAGCUCCGUUGGUGUAGGGAAAGCUCUGAAAAAAUUUUGACAGAGCUUUCGUGCAUAGAAAAUAGUAAAGUGAGUUUCAAAUAGAAUACGAGCCUAUUUAUAGAGCUUAUCAAUGGUUUAGAUCAACUAGAUUCGCUGUCAAAUUGGUGCCACUUGGCCGCAAUCCAAUGACUCUAAUAAAAGACCUUUCAACUCACCUCAUUCUAAUCAAGCCACACAAGCUUGAUCUGUACGGUAGUUGAAAUAGUCAAUAGCAAAAUGAUACGUAGCAAGUAGAGAAUCAACUCAUAUCGGUAGACCUUCCAAGCAAUAAUGAAUUUUCAAUUCUCUAGACCUUCAUAAUUGUUGGAGGAUUCGAUGAGACAUUUUUGAAAAGACAUAUCGCCUCAAACGAUUAAAAAAAUUAAUACUAUCAACUACCAUACGGUACAUUUGUUAUUG